GAUGAACGCUGGCGGCGUGCUUAACACAUGCAAGUCGAACGGGAAACCUUUUAUUGAAGCUUCGGCAGAUUUCGCUGGUUUCUAGUGGCGGACGGGUGAGUAACGCGUGGGUAACCUGCCUUAUACAGGGGGAUAACAGUCAGAAAUGGCUGCUAAUACCGCAUAAGCGCACAGAGCUGCAUGGCUCAGUGUGAAAAACUCCGGUGGUAUAAGAUGGACCCGCGUUGGAUUAGCUGGUUGGUGGGGUAACGGCCCACCAAGGCGACGAUCCAUAGCCGGCCUGAGAGGGUGAACGGCCACAUUGGGACUGAGCCACGGCCCAGACUCCUACGGGAGGCAGCAGUGGGGAAUAUUGCACAAUGGGGGAAACGCUGAUGCAGCGACGCCGCGUGAAGGAAGAAGUAUCUCGGUAUGUAAACUUCUAUCAGCAGGGAAGAUAAUGACGGUACCUGACUAAGAAGCCCCGGCUAACUACGUG
This 478-nucleotide ribosomal RNA is filed under the name uncultured bacterium. RNAcentral describes it as "partial 16S ribosomal RNA". It matches the Rfam family "Bacterial small subunit ribosomal RNA", at positions 28 to 507 of the family's 1533-position model. The record is from RNAcentral.